UCGCCUGUUUAUCAAAAACAUAGCCUAAAGGAUUACAUUUUAGGUAAUGCCUGCCCGGUGAUUACAUCAAUUAAACGGCCGCAGUACUCUGACUGUGCAAAGGUAGCAUAAUAAGUUGUCUUUUAAAUGAAGACUGGAAUGAAGGGAUAAAUGGGAGGAAGCUGUCUCUUUUAUACUUUGUAAAACUUUAUUUAGGGGUGAAAAUACCCCUAAAAAACAGAAGGACGAGAAGACCCUAAGAGCCUCCGCUACUUUUAGCGUAACUAGUGCUGAAUUAGCUUUUGUUGGGGCAACAUAGUAUAAUUAAUACAAAAAUACUUUAUUAAUAUUUUACAUGACGAUAUGUGUGUGCUAGUUUCUAUAAACUGGUAACAUAUUAUAAGUAAGAAAAGGCUACCUUAGGGAUAACAGCUUAAUACUAAACUAUUUGUGUUUGAGACCUCGAUGUUGGACUAGGGACUUUAUGGCCAGAAGUCAAAUAAGCUCUGUUCUGUUCGAACAGUUUUACCCUACAUGAUCUGAGUUCAGACCGGAGG
RNAcentral lists this ribosomal RNA (536 nucleotides) under Pedipes mirabilis. RNAcentral's name for it is "partial 16S ribosomal RNA". It matches the Rfam family "Bacterial large subunit ribosomal RNA", at positions 1796 to 2622 of the family's 2925-position model. Lineage: Eukaryota; Metazoa; Mollusca; Gastropoda; Ellobiida; Ellobiidae. The record is from RNAcentral.